GAUGAACGCUGGCGGCGUGCUUAACACAUGCAAGUCGAACGAUGAAGCCCAGCUUGCCGGGUGGAUUAGUGGCGAACGGGUGAGUAACACGUGAGUAACCUGCCCUUAACUCUGGGAUAAGCCUGGGAAACUGGGUCUAAUACCGGAUAGGAGCGUCCACCGCAUGGUGGGUGUUGGAAAGAUUUAUCGGUUUUGGAUGGACUCGCGGCCUAUCAGCUUGUUGGUGAGGUAAUGGCUCACCAAGGCGACGACGGGUAGCCGGCCUGAGAGGGUGACCGGCCACACUGGGACUGAGACACGGCCCAGACUCCUACGGGAGGUAGCAGUGGGGAAUAUUGCACAAUGGGCGCAAGCCUGAUGCAGCGACGCCGCGUGAGGGAUGACGGCCUUCGGGUUGUAAACCUCUUUCAGUAGGGAAGAAGCGAAAGUGACGGUACCUGCAGAAGAAGCACCGGCUAACUACGUG
RNAcentral lists this ribosomal RNA (466 nucleotides) under uncultured bacterium. Its description in RNAcentral is "partial 16S ribosomal RNA". It matches the Rfam family "Bacterial small subunit ribosomal RNA", at positions 28 to 507 of the family's 1533-position model. The record is from RNAcentral.